AGCGAACGCUGGCGGCAGGCCUAACACAUGCAAGUCGAACGAACUCUUCGGAGUUAGUGGCGGACGGGUGAGUAACACGUGGGAACGUGCCUUUUGGUUCGGAAUAACUCAGGGAAACUUGUACUAAUACCGAAUGUGCCCUUCGGGAGAAAGAUUUAUCGCCAUUAGAGCGGCCCGCGUCUGAUUAGCUAGUUGGUGAGGUAACGGCUCACCAAGGCGACGAUCAGUAGCUGGUCUGAGAGGAUGACCAGCCACACUGGGACUGAGACACGGCCCAGACUCCUACGGGAGGCAGCAGUGGGGAAUCUUGCGCAAUGGGCGAAAGCCUGACGCAGCCAUGCCGCGUGAAUGAUGAAGGUCUUAGGAUUGUAAAAUUCUUUCACCGGGGACGAUAAUGACGGUACCCGGAGAAGAAGCCCCGGCUAACUUCGUG
RNAcentral lists this ribosomal RNA (433 nucleotides) under uncultured bacterium. RNAcentral describes it as "partial 16S ribosomal RNA". It matches the Rfam family "Bacterial small subunit ribosomal RNA", at positions 29 to 507 of the family's 1533-position model. The record is from RNAcentral.